AGGCUCCUAAAAGUUGAUGGUAGAGGAACAGAGUCAUUGUUUUGUCCAGAACUUUGUCCGAAACAUGAUUGGAACCGUACCCUGUCCAUGCAUUUGAAGAAGAGCCUAUAGUUGCUAACGGUCAGUAUUCCACGUACAGCUCCGGUGAAAGGACAGAAAUAGGUGAUGUCUUGUGCUGUAAAAUUAAAUCAGGAUAAAAUCACUAAAGUGAGUUCAACGGAAGUGGACGAUAAAAACUCAUACCCAUAUCUUGCACAAUUUCAUUUGGAAGCAAUUGUGGUUCCUCUUUAUCAGAAUCUCGUAAAACCUGCUAAAGAAAAAAGACAACUAGGAAUGGGGAAGACGUGUUGAAGUAAUUACACAUGAUUAAUUUAGGGCUUCUACCUUUGCAUGAAUUUUGGCCUUGACCUAAAAUAGAAAAGAGUUUGCAUGUCAGUCAUGAUUCAUGACAUUGACUCCAUUUUGUUUCAUACAAACCCUGAUAUCUGGGGAGAACUCCGCUGAGGUAGCCGUCUCAGACAACAUGGCAGAGGAAGGUUUAACCUGGGCCGAACGCUCAGAACUGUUAAGAAAUAAUAUUUUUUUUUCCACAUGGCAGCCACUCUGAAAUGACGCUUUGCUACUUUUGUUAUAUGAAGUCAUGGAUGAAGAAGAGGGAGUAACAGCUGAUAACAAAAACAGUCCUGUGGGCGCUGGCCAGACCUCGUUAUCUGCUGCAAAUUCCGAUUUAUAAAUUAUCUACACGCUCCCUCUCCUCCAACUCCCUGCGGAAGUCACGGGCACGCACCUCCUCAGGAGCAUCCUGAGUUGGUUGCCUAACAGACAGAACACACAACAGAAGAUUUGAAAAAGUGUAUUUCAUGUAAGCACUUGUAGAUGAGUAUAUAAAAUAUGCUGCUGGAGUAUAUUUAUUUACUGACCUAUACUUGAUCUUUGUGUGACCGGGAAGAUCUCGACUUGAAUAUUGCUUUGACAGUGCACUCAAAUCUCCUUCUCCUUUUCCUCGCCCUCCUCUGGCGGGUUCAAAUGUUGGUCUUGCAGCAGUAGUCAUCGUGGACGGCUCUU
Molecule: long non-coding RNA, 1065 nt
Organism: Syngnathus typhle (broad-nosed pipefish)
Lineage: Eukaryota; Metazoa; Chordata; Actinopteri; Syngnathiformes; Syngnathidae
Exons: 2
Source: RefSeq, a predicted model, not a curated record